This 75-nucleotide transfer RNA is filed under the name Holosporaceae bacterium. RNAcentral's name for it is "tRNA-Asn". It matches the Rfam family "tRNA". Rfam says of the family: Transfer RNA (tRNA) molecules are approximately 80 nucleotides in length. Lineage: Bacteria; Pseudomonadati; Pseudomonadota; Alphaproteobacteria; Holosporales; Holosporaceae. The record is from RNAcentral.
UCCUCGGUAGCUCAGCGGUAGAGCAAGUGGCUGUUAACCACUGGGUCGGCGGUCCGAAUCCGUCCCGAGGAGCCA